AAGCGUUCAGAGUUCGGGGCCUCCGCGUAGUAGGCGCGCACAAGCAAAGAGGCGAAGUCGUCGCAGGGCAAUUUUCGCUUUUAACAAUGUCUGAUAAAGUCGUAUCCAAUUUACAAAAGAUUUUCAAUCGUUUAACAGAACAUUCGUGCGUACGACGCAGUUGUGAUUCGUCAGUGAAUACAAGUAACAUUAUUUACAAGGAAAAUAACUUUCGAGGAUCCCAGAGUCGAUGUUUCUAUAAAUAAUUAAAAAAGAAAAGAGCCGUAAUAAAAGCACAACAGGUAUCCUGUUCGCUUGUUUCACACUUGCACGAAGGCCCGGGGAAACUGUAAGAAACCUAGCCGACCGGGCAGUCACAUUUUUACUAAAUGCCAGCUUGGUGGGGUCAUCAGCACCUCAGAAAAACUGCUUCCCGCUCAGUGAUUGAUGGGCAAUCCGGUGCAUGGCUAAGCGGUUAUCCAUCCCAGUAUUGAAUUUCUUUGAGGCUGCUUCAUUUGGGUGAAUGAAUUCGUGCUGGCACUCUACAAACUAAAAUAAUUAUAUACAAAACACCCACAAUCGUCGUAACCGAAGAAAAUGUUUUUUGAGAAUGAGUUGCCAAGCUGCCGUGUACCUUAACAAUGAGGAACGUCGAUAGUUUCAGGCUGAAAAAAUUACAAAGUGCGCUCCAAAUGUGAAUAAAAAUGUGGCAAAAACUUCGCAGUCGCAUCUUUAAAUAGCUCGCAAAAAAAAAUCUGAAAAAGCAUAAAAAAGGAAUCUUCACGCAUGCAGGAUCCUCAAAGAACAAUUUUCAAAUUGCUUCCAACUUUUUUUCAAAAAAAAUAAACGAAAUAAAAUGUUAAUUGGAA
Molecule: long non-coding RNA, 848 nt
Filed under: Venturia canescens
Lineage: Eukaryota; Metazoa; Arthropoda; Insecta; Hymenoptera; Ichneumonidae
Description: uncharacterized LOC122411089, transcript variant X4
Source: RNAcentral